Long non-coding RNA from Helianthus annuus (common sunflower), 213 nucleotides. RefSeq lists it as uncharacterized. NCBI's taxonomy places the organism in Eukaryota, Viridiplantae, Streptophyta, Magnoliopsida, Asterales, Asteraceae. The transcript has 3 exons. The record is from RefSeq and is a predicted model, not a curated record.
AGUGUAGUAGUGAUGGAACUGACUUUCAAGAAGGUGUUGUUGUGGAAUGUGAAGAUGACAAAUUUCAGUUGGCAAGUUUUGAAGCUGUGUUCAAUGAUAUUGAUGAUUCGAAGUUUGAUAACUUUUUCUCAUCUCUACUUGAAAUGGAAGACCUUAAGAAGAAGUUCAAAGAUGAUUGGGAUAAAAAAAACUGAACCGCAAGGCAAAGCAAGG